CUCUGGGAGUGAAGUCAUGUAGCCUAUGCGACAAUUAAGUCACGUUUUCAGCAUGAAGGUCACUCGCCACUUUCCUCAAGCCCCUUUGCUCCAGUGCCAUCUCGAUUUGAUUAUAUGUGACAAAUAA
Osmerus eperlanus (European smelt) is the source of this 127-nucleotide long non-coding RNA. RefSeq lists it as uncharacterized. The record is from RefSeq and is a predicted model, not a curated record. The transcript is spliced from 2 exons. NCBI's taxonomy places the organism in Eukaryota, Metazoa, Chordata, Actinopteri, Osmeriformes, Osmeridae.